GUUUAUGAUAGUUUAAGUUAGAAUAAUAAUUUGUGGUAUUAUGGGUGAAGGUAUUUUCUCUAGACC
RNAcentral lists this transfer RNA (66 nucleotides) under Dinorhynchus dybowskyi. RNAcentral's name for it is "tRNA-His". The record is from RNAcentral. Lineage: Eukaryota; Metazoa; Arthropoda; Insecta; Hemiptera; Pentatomidae.